CGCCAAGGCUGCGGGGCCGACGAGUAUCCCUCGGACCUUCCGCCUCUUAAGGGCCGAUCAAGGGGUAUCAUCCAUUUGAGGCUGCUCCGGAGGACGCCUCUAAAUCCGGCUAAGACCCAAAGGCUAAGGAUAAGUUUGCCCUCCAUCCGGCUGGCUUGUCACGAAAACCAAAGGACGGAUAAGCAUGUAGAACGCCGCCAGGUGCGACGUUUGGACAGCGGUUCGAGUCCGCUCACCUCCACAA
Molecule: transfer-messenger RNA, 244 nt
Filed under: Bacteroidales bacterium
Lineage: Bacteria; Pseudomonadati; Bacteroidota; Bacteroidia; Bacteroidales
Description: partial transfer-messenger RNA
Rfam family: transfer-messenger RNA
About the family: Bacterial tmRNA, also known as 10Sa RNA or SsrA, is named for its dual tRNA and mRNA-like properties. Its role is to liberate the mRNA from a stalled ribosome.
Source: RNAcentral